AUUGAACGCUGGCGGCAGGCCUAACACAUGCAAGUCGAGCGAGCGGCGGACGGGUGAGUAAUGUCUGGGAAACUGCCGGAUGGAGGGGGAUAACUACUGGAAACGGUAGCUAAUACCGCAUACCAUCAGAUGUGCCCAGAUGGGAUUAGCUGGUAGGUGGGGUAACGGCUCACCUGGGCGACGUGCCCUAGCUGGUCUGAGAGGAUGACCAGCACAACUGGACCGGGGCACCGGCCCGGACUCCUCCGGGAGGCAGAAGGGGGAAAUAUUGGACAAUGGGGGCAAGCUGGCUGCGGCAAGGCCGCGGGUAUGAAGAAGGCCUUCGGGUUGUAAAGCACUUUCAGCGGGGCGGCGUUACCCGCAGAAGAAGCACCGGCUAACUCCGUGCCAGCAGCCGCGGUAAUUC
Molecule: ribosomal RNA, 406 nt
Filed under: uncultured bacterium
Lineage: Bacteria
Description: partial 16S ribosomal RNA
Rfam family: Bacterial small subunit ribosomal RNA
Source: RNAcentral